Molecule: ribosomal RNA, 370 nt
Filed under: uncultured bacterium
Lineage: Bacteria
Description: bacterial SSU rRNA
Rfam family: Bacterial small subunit ribosomal RNA
Source: RNAcentral
ACGGAGGGUGCAAGCGUUAUCCGGAAUCACUGGGUUUAAAGGGUGCGUAGGCGGAAAUUUAAGUCAGUGGUGAAAUCUUGUCGCUUAACGAUAAAAUUGCCAUUGAUACUGAAUUUCUUGAAUUGGGUUGAGGUUAGCGGAAUGUGACAUGUAGCGGUGAAAUGCAUAGAUAUGUCAUGGAACACCAAUUGCGAAGGCAGCUAGCUGGGCCUUGAUUGACGCUGAGGCACGAAAGCGUGGGUAGCGAACAGGAUUAGAUACCCUGGUAGUCCACGCCCUAAACGAUGCUAACUCGAUGUUUGGGCAGUAAGCUUGAGCAUCCAAGGGAAACCGAUAAGUUAGCCACCUGGGGAGUACGACCGCAAGGUUG